UACAGAGGUGGCAAGCGUUGUUCGGAAUUACUGGGCGUAAAGGGCGCGUAGGCGGCCAUCUAAGUCAGACGUGAAAUCCCCCGGCUUAACCUGGGAACUGCGUCUGAUACUGGACGGCUAGAGUUUGGGAGAGGGAUGUGGAAUUCCAGGUGUAGCGGUGAAAUGCGUAGAUAUCUGGAGGAACACCGGUGGCGAAGGCGGCAUCCUGGACCAACACUGACGCUGAGGCGCGAAAGCUAGGGGAGCAAACGGG
RNAcentral lists this ribosomal RNA (253 nucleotides) under uncultured bacterium. RNAcentral's name for it is "partial 16S ribosomal RNA". It matches the Rfam family "Bacterial small subunit ribosomal RNA", at positions 524 to 776 of the family's 1533-position model. The record is from RNAcentral.